ACUUUCAACAACGGAUCUCUUGGCUCUCGCAUCGAUGAAGAACGCAGCGAAAUGCGAUAAGUAGUGUGAAUUGCAGAAUUUUGUGAAUCAUCGAAUCUUUGAACGCAAAUUGCACUCUCUGGUAUUCCGGGGAGUAUGCCUGUUUGAGGGUC
Molecule: ribosomal RNA, 152 nt
Filed under: Glomus sp. 0523
Lineage: Eukaryota; Fungi; Glomeromycota; Glomeromycetes; Glomerales; Glomeraceae
Description: 5.8S ribosomal RNA
Rfam family: 5.8S ribosomal RNA
About the family: 5.8S ribosomal RNA (5.8S rRNA) is a component of the large subunit of the eukaryotic ribosome. It is transcribed by RNA polymerase I as part of the 45S precursor that also contains 18S and 28S rRNA. Functionally, it is thought that 5.8S rRNA may be involved in ribosome translocation.
Source: RNAcentral